Molecule: ribosomal RNA, 975 nt
Filed under: human gut metagenome
Description: bacterial LSU rRNA
Rfam family: Bacterial large subunit ribosomal RNA
Source: RNAcentral
CCUAAGGUAGCGAAAUUCCUUGUCGGGUAAGUUCCGACCCGCACGAAAGGCGUAACGAUUUGGGCACUGUCUCAACAACAGACUCGGUGAAAUUGUAAUUCCGGUGAAGAUGCCGGAUACCUGCGACAGGACGGAAAGACCCCAUGGAGCUUUACUGUAGCUUGGCAUUGGGUCUUGGUACUACAUGUACAGCAUAGGUGGGAGGCUUUGAUUCCAGGACGCCAGUUUUGGAUGAGCCACCGUUGGGAUACCACCCCUGUAGUACUGGGACUCUAACCAGAGGCCUUGAAUCAGGUCUUGGGACACUGUCAGGCGGGCAGUUUGACUGGGGCGGUCGCCUCCCAAAAGGUAACGGAGGCGCUCAAAGGUUCUCUCAGCACGGUCGGAAAUCGUGCAUAGAGUGUAAAGGCAUAAGAGAGCUUGAUUGCAAGACAUACAGGUCGAGCAAGGACGAAAGUCGGACUUAGUGAUCCGGUGGUUCUGAGUGGAAGGGCCAUCGCUCAACGGAUAAAAGCUACCCUGGGGAUAACAGGCUUAUCUCCCCCAAGAGUCCACAUCGACGGGGAGGUUUGGCACCUCGAUGUCGGCUCAUCACAUCCUGGGGCUGUAGUAGGUCCCAAGGGUUGGGCUGUUCGCCCAUUAAAGUGGUACGCGAGCUGGGUUCAGAACGUCGUGAGACAGUUCGGUCCCUAUCCGUCGCAGGCGUAGGAAAUUUGAGAGGAUCUGCCCUUAGUACGAGAGGACCGGGGUGGACGUACCGCUGGUGUACCAGUUGUCUCGCCAGAGGCAUGGCUGGGUAGCUAUGUACGGAACGGAUAAGCGCUGAAAGCAUCUAAGCGCGAAGCCAGCCUUAAGAUAAGAUUUCCCAUUCUUCGGAAGUAAGACCCCAUGAAGACUACGUGGUUGAUAGGUCGGAGGUGGAAGUGCAGUAAUGUAUGCAGCUUACCGAUACUAAUAGGUCGAGGACUUGACCAA